GCAAAAAAUACGCCAAACAACGCCGUUAUUCAAGACAUGCUGCUCCCCAUCAGAUUCCAACACAAACUUAAAACUCAAGACCUGCAUAAUGGACACCAUGUUACGAUCAAGAAGUUGCAUUCUUCACUUAAAUAAGUUACAGAACAGUAAGAACACAAUUAAUCCCCUUAAAACAAGAUUCAAGACAAAAAUAAACCAUGGAAAUCAUACUAUUCACUUUAUAGUCUAGAUACAAAUUGGUCUAAAUCUUUUGCUCUAACAAAGACCACUCAAAGUAUCACUCUAAAACACUCAAACGCGAAUUCUUUUAAGUAUGUCAGAACGCGAAUUUUCUUGACAAUAGAAGAUGAAUAAUUACAUUACAUUACUAUAUAAGUGACAAACACUGCAUAAUAAUAUAAAAUUAGCUUACCAUUAGAUAAUCUCAUCAAUCUGGACGCGGAAAAGAAUGUUGUCCAUUAAACCCAUACCCAUAGGAUUUGCUCCAAUCAUUUCAAACUUGAACAACAUUUGCAAUCUUUUCAUCUGAAAUUAACAAGUUUUUCACUUAAAAAUUAAUUGAAUUGUAAAAAGAAAAAAAACGUGUGUAUAAAUACCUUGUUCUAGAACAAAAGUAAAUGUGAAUGUAGAAUGUUGAAGAGCAUGAGAAA
RNAcentral lists this long non-coding RNA (650 nucleotides) under Aquilegia coerulea. Its description in RNAcentral is "long non-coding RNA (ACOE_LNC001460)". The record is from RNAcentral. Lineage: Eukaryota; Viridiplantae; Streptophyta; Magnoliopsida; Ranunculales; Ranunculaceae.